RNAcentral lists this ribosomal RNA (2400 nucleotides) under Triticum aestivum (bread wheat). RNAcentral's name for it is "partial small subunit ribosomal RNA". Lineage: Eukaryota; Viridiplantae; Streptophyta; Magnoliopsida; Poales; Poaceae. The record is from RNAcentral.
GUAGUUAGUAUUUACGUGGUUCCUGUUCAUAGAUGAGGUAACACUUUCCCCCUCUUUCUCCCUAGUCACAACACUGUCGCUCCUGUAGAAGUAGGUAUCGAGAAGGGGCUCAAUACUUUGUCCCGGUACGCGAAGGUGGACACUCCACGUCUUGUUUGUUUAGGGCUCACCGCUACUACAACUCGGCCGCUUCUAGUGGCCAUCACCGAAGCGAUGUCGACGGCGGCCACUGUUGAGAAGACAAAGAUACCCAGAAUUCGACACCCGUACGUUGUCGUUUGUGACUAUAUCGAUUGUACUGCCGUGAGGUCUUUGUACAGAGAAAAAAGCUGGCAUUGUUCCUACCGUAGUAAUGAGGAUAUCUUUGUAAACUUCCAUUAACACGAAUUGACGAAUACGUUUUUUAGAGAUUUCUUUACAGUAACAACUCUCAAACACCUCGAUUAUCUGAGUGUACACAGACGUAAAGAAAAUUGUCUUUCGUACAAAUGACAAACACCUCGUCUUAAAUUGUGUCGAUCUACUGAACAUUUAUUAUAUCUUUCGUUUAAGUCUUCGAGAUGAACACGGCGUAUCGGGAUUCUUUUUUAGAUUCCGUACAAUUCAAUUAAGGAAACGGCACAAACAUAGAAGAACUAAAACUGAUUGAUAUGAACCUUGUUCCCGAUUGUAUAGAAAGGAAGAUCGUGUUGAUACUGUACAUAUAAUUGAUUAAUACCAGACCACUACAAUUUUUUAUUUUAGUUAAAAUGUACACGGAUUUAAUGGUUACAUACCAGGUACACAAUUGAUUGAACAAUGAAGCUCUAAAGAGUCCAUCAUACGAUCACCGGUACCACACAAAACCUAACUCCGUAUCUCUGAAUGGAAAGUUCCACGUCAUUCCCGUGUUUGGUGACUAAUCGCACCGCCAAUCUCGAUCGAAUUAGAGGAAAAUACAAAUAACCAUUAAACUACCGUUUAUAUAUUUAUUCGAAUCUCCCUAAAGUUUUUCCUUUCGAAAUCGGCUGAAACUUCCUAUUCCCUUCUUGAUUGUUUGAACUUUUAUUCGAUUUGUCUGACUACGAUAGGACUAAACUCUUAACUUCUCUGAACUACUACCACCGGGUACGAGGAAUAGGAACACCACUCCCUAUAUACGACCCAGGGUACACGGUCUUCGGGUCUUGAUAUAGAUAAUAAUACUGUUAUAUAAAAUAGAACAUCCUAAACAACGUUAACCAACACUACAACGUAUAAGAUCUCUGAGACGGAGGAGGCACGUACGACGGGAACCAGGAUAUUGUUCGGGCCAUACUGAUGGAGUUUGUACGUACACGCGUGUGUCUGUUACUUGAACUAUAAAAACACAAGUUAAGUCCAACUACGUGGUAACGGGGUGUAAUUAUAAGUGUAUUUGGAUUAGGUAUCUCGUUACGUACCUUCACUAUGUCCACGUAAUCUACGGUUUCCUUCCAUUAAGUUUAGUGGAUGAAUACAUACACGUAUAGACCAUGUAUAAUGGUACGUAUGACAUUUCAUUUUCUUUGUACCUUCACUAUGUCCAUGUAAAAAUAAUUAAAUAAGUUUAGAUAUGUAUAUGACUUGUACAGUUCGACAUCCAAACAAGGGGUUUUUAAACUCCUUUAUAAGUAUUUCGUACGUUUUCAAUCUGGUCUACGCGACUGUAGGAGCCUCCACCUCCUCUACUAGGAUCGUUUAGCUCUAGGUGAUCUGGCAGCUAGUACCAUUAAAAGUAACCUUCAACCAAUAAACAAUUGACGUAAGAACUCUUGGUAAGCUCCGCACGUUGUACUAAGAUAGUGCAUCCGAGAGCACGGUUGAUUUCUUUACAAAGGAAACCUUAUCGUACAUUUUUAGUUACCUCCCUAGUUUAAAAUUCAAUACCUAAAAUUUAAGCUGAUUCAAAAGAAUAUUUAUAUCCGACCGCGGACAUUUUCUCACCCCCGACUGUAUGUUCGAACGUUCACUAUUCCUACCAAAAGAAGUGUUCCUAUCACAUUCUCCAUAUAUACUACCUUCACACAAGCAGUUCAACCUCCUUUUCUCCAGAGAAGUCUAACUUUAUACUGCGCGAUAUGGUAACACACAAAACGUGUUGUAAACCCCUUGGAUCCACCAGUAUAUCAACAGUUUAUACUAUAUAUAACAAGUUCACAUAAACUGGUGCACAUUAAUAACCUAAAAAAAACAUUCCUUUGUAUCACACAGUUGAUCGACCAUCUUAUGCCUAUACAUGACAAUGCGUUACACAAAUGCAAUAGUCAACGUACAGUUAACAUUUGAUGUUAACAAAUAACGUGGCCGCAGAAUCGAUAUCAAUCGAACUAGUUCAUGGUAAAAGUUAGGUAUAGGAUGGUGUAAGUGUGGACGAGAGUAAAUGUAUAGGAAUACAGUAGG